RNAcentral lists this ribosomal RNA (479 nucleotides) under uncultured bacterium. Its description in RNAcentral is "bacterial SSU rRNA". It matches the Rfam family "Bacterial small subunit ribosomal RNA", at positions 30 to 526 of the family's 1533-position model. The record is from RNAcentral.
AUUGAACGCUGGCGGCAGGCCUAACACAUGCAAGUCGAACGGUAACAUUUCUAGCUUGCUAGAAGAUGACGAGUGGCGGACGGGUGAGUAAUGCUUGGGAACUUGCCUUUGCGAGGGGGAUAACAGUUGGAAACGACUGCUAAUACCGCAUAAUGUCUUCGGACCAAACGGGGCUUCGGCUCCGGCGCAAAGAGAGGCCCAAGUGAGAUUAGCUAGUUGGUAAGGUAACGGCUUACCAAGGCGACGAUCUCUAGCUGUUCUGAGAGGAAGAUCAGCCACACUGGGACUGAGACACGGCCCAGACUCCUACGGGAGGCAGCAGUGGGGAAUCUUCUGCAAUGGGCGCAAGCCUGACAGAGCGGCGUCAUGUGAAGGAAGAAGGCCUGAAAUAGGUUGUAAACUUCUUUUACUGAGUAAUGAAUACUGACAACGCAGUAAAAAAGUAUCGGCUAACUCCGUGCCAGCCGCCGCCGUAACAC